Molecule: unclassified non-coding RNA, 329 nt
Filed under: soil metagenome
Description: partial contains 5.8S ribosomal RNA, internal transcribed spacer 2, and large subunit ribosomal RNA
Rfam family: 5.8S ribosomal RNA (bases 1-120)
Source: RNAcentral
GAUGAAGAACGCAGCGAAAUGCGAUAAGUAAUGUGAAUUGCAGAAUUCAGUGAAUCAUCGAAUCUUUGAACGCACAUUGCGCCCCUUGGUAUUCCGGGGGGCAUGCCUGUUCGAGCGUCAUUAACACCCCUCAAGCUCAGCUUGGUGUUGGGGCCUGCUGCACUGGCAGCCCUUAAAAUCAGUGGCGGCGCCAUCUGGCUCUAAGCGUAGUAAUUCUUCUCGCUAUGGAGUCCUGGUGGAUGCUUGCCAUCAACCCCCAAUUUUUCUAUGGUUGACCUCGGAUCAGGUAGGGAUACCCGCUGAACUUAAGCAUAUCAAUAAGCGGAGGA